GUUUGAUCCUGGCUCAGAAUCAACGCUGGCGGCGUGCCUAACACAUGCAAGUCGCACGAGAAAGUGGAGCAAUCCAUGAGUAAAGUGGCGCACGGGUGUGUAACACGUGAAUUAUCUACCUCCGAGUGGGGAAUAACUGAGAGAAAUCUUAGCUAAUACCGCAUAACACUUACGAGUCAAAGCAGCAAUGCGCUUGGAGAGGAGUUCGCGGCCGAUUAGUUAGUUGGCGGGGUAAUGGCCCACCAAGACGAUGAUCGGUAUCCGGCCUGAGAGGGCGCACGGACACACUGGAACUGAAACACGGUCCAGACUCCUACGGGAGGCAGCAGUGGGGAAUUUUGCGCUAAUGGGGGAAACCCUGACGCAGCAACGCCGCGUGGAGGAUGAAAUAUCUUUGGUAUGUAAA
Molecule: ribosomal RNA, 406 nt
Filed under: uncultured bacterium
Lineage: Bacteria
Description: bacterial SSU rRNA
Rfam family: Bacterial small subunit ribosomal RNA
Source: RNAcentral